AUUGAACGCUGGCGGCAGGCCUAACACAUGCAAGUCGAGCGGCAGCGGGACCUUCGGGUUGCCGGCGAGCGGCGGACGGGUGAGUAAUGCCUAGGAAUCUGCCUGUUAGUGGGGGAUAACGCGGGGAGACUCGCGCUAAUACCGCAUACGUCCUACGGGAGAAAGCGGGGGCUCUUCGGACCUCGCGCGAACAGAUGAGCCUGGGUCGGAUUAGCUAGUUGGUGGGGUAAUGGCCCACCAAGGCGACGAUCCUUAACUGGUCGGAGAGGAUGAUCAGUCACACUGGAACUGAGACACGGUCCAGACUCCUACGGGAGGCAGCAGUGGGGAAUAUUGGACAAUGGGCGAAAGCCUGAUCCAGCCAUGCCGCGUGUGUGAAGAAGGUCUUCGGAUUGUAAAGCACUUUAAGUCGGGAGGAAGGGCUGUAGGCUAAUACCUUGCAGUUUUGACGUUACCGACAGAAUAAGCACCGGCUAACUUCGUGCCAGCAGCCGCCGUAA
Molecule: ribosomal RNA, 500 nt
Filed under: uncultured bacterium
Lineage: Bacteria
Description: partial 16S ribosomal RNA
Rfam family: Bacterial small subunit ribosomal RNA
Source: RNAcentral